Molecule: ribosomal RNA, 517 nt
Filed under: Amphiduros pacificus
Lineage: Eukaryota; Metazoa; Annelida; Polychaeta; Phyllodocida; Hesionidae
Description: partial 16S ribosomal RNA
Rfam family: Bacterial large subunit ribosomal RNA
Source: RNAcentral
UGCCUCUUGACAUAAGAUGGGAGGUACGUCCUGCCCGGUGAAUUACGGUUUUAACGGCCGCGGUACUCUGACCGUGCAAAGGUAGCAUAAUCAUUUGCCUUUUAAAUGGAGGCUGGUAUGAAUGGAUAAACGAGGGGUCAGUUGUCUCUUUAUUACUUUUAAAAAUUAACCUCUAGGUGAAGAUGCCUAGAUUGUCCUAAAAGACAAGAAGACCCUAUUGAGUUUUACCCAUAGCUUCUCAUUUUGUUAAUAGUCUUAUAUGAUGAGAUAAGAAGUAGGGGUUUAGUUGGGGCGACUGGGGAACAUGGAAGAGCUUCCCUUAAAUAAAAGGCUUUAAGCCCUGAAAUUGACCCGCAUAGAGCGAUCAAAAGACGUAACUACCAUAGGGGUAACAGGCUAAUUUCCUUAGAGAGAUCACAUUGACUAGGAAGAUUGGCACCUCGAUGUUGGCUUAAGGUGACCUUCGAGUGCAGCAGCCCGAAUAGGUUGGUUUGUUCAACCAUUAAAAUCUUACGUG